UCUGUGAGAUCCUAGUGCAAGGUCGUGCUAGGAGUGAGAAAUCCGACACGAGUGAAGUGUGGGUACUGAAGAGUGGACUCUUCAGUGAAACGGUUGUAUGCACCCGGCAAGCACACGGUUCGAUUUGCAGUGCACCAGUUAAGCACUUGCGGAGUGGAUUGUUGGUCUGAUCAACCGACCGUGAAUGUAGGAAAGUGUUUUCCGAACCAUGUAAAAGU
Molecule: long non-coding RNA, 218 nt
Filed under: Salvia miltiorrhiza (redroot sage)
Lineage: Eukaryota; Viridiplantae; Streptophyta; Magnoliopsida; Lamiales; Lamiaceae
Description: long non-coding RNA (SMIL_LNC009849)
Source: RNAcentral